Molecule: ribosomal RNA, 468 nt
Filed under: uncultured bacterium
Lineage: Bacteria
Description: partial 16S ribosomal RNA
Rfam family: Bacterial small subunit ribosomal RNA
Source: RNAcentral
GACGAACGCUGGCGGCGUGCUUAACACAUGCAAGUCGAACGGAAAGGCCCUGCUUUUGUGGGGUGCUCGAGUGGCGAACGGGUGAGUAACACGUGGGUAACCUGCCCUUGACUUUGGGAUAACUUCAGGAAACUGGGGCUAAUACCGGUUAGGAGCUCCUGCUGCAUGGUGGGGGUUGGAAAGUUUCGGCGGUUGGGGAUGGACUCGCGGCUUAUCAGCUUGUUGGUGGGGUAGUGGCUUACCAAGGCUUUGACGGGUAGCCGGCCUGAGAGGGUGACCGGCCACAUUGGGACUGAGAUACGGCCCAGACUCCUACGGGAGGCAGCAGUGGGGAAUAUUGCACAAUGGGCGGAAGCCUGAUGCAGCAACGCCGCGUGCGGGAUGACGGCCUUCGGGUUGUAAACCGCUUUCGCCUGUGACGAAGCGUGAGUGACGGUAAUGGGUAAAGAAGCACCGGCUAACUACGUG